GACGAACGCUGGCGGCGUGCCUAAUACAUGCAAGUCGAACGAACCGCGACUGAGUGCUUGCACUUGGUCAAGGUGAGUGGCGAACGGGUGAGUAACACGUGGGCAACCUACCUCAUAGUGGGGGAUAACAGUCGGAAACGACUGCUAAUACCGCAUAGGACAUGGAAUCACAUGAUUCUGUGAGGAAAGGUGGCGCAAGCUAUCGCUAAGAGAUGGACCCGCGGUGCAUUAGCUAGUUGGUAGGGUAAGGGCCUACCAAGGCGAUGAUGCAUAGCCGACCUGAGAGGGUGAUCGGCCACAUUGGGACUGAGACACGGCCCAAACUCCUACGGGAGGCAGCAGUAGGGAAUCUUCCGCAAUGGACGCAAGUCUGACGGAGCAACGCCGCGUGAGUGAAGAAGGUCUUCGGAUCGUAAAGCUCUGUUGUUAGAGAAGAACAGCGCAUAGAGUAACUGUUAUGCGUGUGACGGUAUCUAACCAGAAAGCCACGGCUAACUACGUG
RNAcentral lists this ribosomal RNA (502 nucleotides) under uncultured bacterium. RNAcentral describes it as "partial 16S ribosomal RNA". It matches the Rfam family "Bacterial small subunit ribosomal RNA", at positions 28 to 507 of the family's 1533-position model. The record is from RNAcentral.